CCCUGGGCCAGGAAUGGAACCUGUGCCACAGAAGCAACCCAAGCCAAUGCUGGUGACGAUGCUGGUUCCUUAACCCACUGAGUCACUGGGGAAACUCCUCAUUGGUCUUUCUUAAGGGACCAGUUCUAGCAAUUAGAUGAGGCUGGCCAUUACCAGUGGUCUAGGACUGUUGUAUUCUUAUUAUCUAGUGCAAGAAGCUAAGCAAUAAUAGGACUCAAGUCUAUCUGCUAAGAAGGGGAAGAGGUAACUCUGCUUUUACUCCUUUUUCAUUCCAGCAAGUCUAUGAAGUAGAUGCUGUUAGUAUCCCCACUUCAUGGUUUGGGAAAUGGAGGAUCAGAGAGGUUGGGUGACUUGCCCCAGGUCACAGCUAGUGGUGGAGCUGGGAUUCAAACCCAGGUCUGCGAGGCUCCACAGCAGGUAUUCUCAACUACAAGAGUGUGCUACCACCUCUCACAUUCAUAGGAAGGCCAGCUGAGUUCCCACAGGACCACUGCUUUACAACUGGACCUAUCACUUUCCUGGUCCUAUCACCCCUGGCUGGAGCUUUGCUCUGGGGGUUCCUUCUGGCAUCUUGGUGGAAGCAAGGGGGGUUGAUAACUGGCAUUGUCUUGAAGGAGGAGGCUUUCCAGGCAGGCAGAAAGUUGAAAUGACUGCUGACUCAGCUAUCUGGAUGUCCUUACCUGAGGAGACAGGUAAAUAGACAGCAGUCAUGGAACCAUGAUUAAUGUUCAUAGAGUAGAUCUUACAUCCUCAAGAAAACAAUUUUGGCAACUUUUGUGUGGUGAGUACAUGCCUCCUGUGUGCUGGCUUCCUGCAUACAUGGUGUCUGCCACAACUGCCCUAGGUCUGCAGGGUCGUCCUCCAGUACAGAGUAGGAUACCUAGCAGAGAAAGAAAGUGACCUGCCAAGGUCAGAGAACAAGGUGGUGGAGGGGCUGUGGCACACACUUAGGCCUCCUGCACUUCCCAAUAUUUCACAAUGGCCCUCAGAAAAAAAUACUUCAGUGAUGCUUCAUCUCUUUAUUCAGGAGGAGAAAGCUGUGCUUAGUACAUUUUAGAAAGCUUCUAUGCCAAUGAGUUUAAAUUGGGGUGUUGGGGCUUAGGGGGAGAACUAUCAGUUGAGUGAAAGUUCAUUUCCAGUGGUCAGUGUUGGCAGAUGAAUGAGGCAUUAUUUGGCCUUAAAGAGGCCCCUGUAAGUGGGCACACCUGGGCCCUGGUGGAUGUGAAGCUUGCUUUGCUGGGGGGCAGCUGCAUCCUGGCUGGUUCCUCUGAAGUCAGGCUGCAUGAGAACACAUAGGCCCUGGCAGCAUCCUGGCACCACCCAAAGCAGCAAACACCAGCAGCAAGGACACAUGCCAGGAAAGUUUCUGCAACCUCUUCCUCGGCCCUGAGCUAGGCGCCUGCCAUGGACAGAAGACUGCAGGAGCCCACAGCAGACCUAGACAGACUGUUUCUUCCACAGAAUUAUCUCACUAAAUAACUCUCGCUAAAGCCUAACAAGACUUGUCAUCAAGCCCAUUUUCCGGAGGGAGAAACCGAGACUCCAAGAACUACAGAACCUAUUUCUGUGUCUCAAUACGUAGGCCGGCUCUCCGACUUGACGGAAUCGCUCUGGCAACAGCGCCCUCUAAAGGCGGAGGCGAGUAUGCCUGCGUAACAGUCGUGCCCCGUCCUUUGGCGCUGGAAAUGGCGGAGGGCUCCCUCUGGCUUCUGAGGAUUGUCCAGCGCCCCUCCGAGGUCCUGGAGAAGCCAGGAGCGCUGCCUACAACUCGGCCUUGACUUCCCCGCAGCCUUGGUCGCCGCAGCAUUGGGUCAGAGGCAUCCCUGGAGAUUGCAGAAAGUUAGCGGCGGCCCCUGUUGACGCAGCGAGUGACGGCCCGACAUACCCUGAUAGGCCACGGGGAGGGCCAGACGCAGAGCCUUGAAAGAAGGAGCUUGCGCUCUGGAAGGGGCGUGGCCAGCGCUCUUCCUCGAGGGCGGGGCUCUAGGGGAAGGGGCUCUUCUCUGGGAUAUUGUGCCACAAGCGAGGACACCCGUGCACCUAGCCCAGGGCCUGUGUCCUGGCGUCAGCGCAUCUGUGGGCAGCAACUUUACCCUCCCCAGACCUCAGUUUCUGCACCUGUAAGACGGAGGCUCUUCCACAACUGCAAAAAUCGGAGUUUCAUCCAGCAUUCUCAGAAUUCCUGUCUCCAGGCAGGCACUGAGGAAUCAGAGCUGCGUUCCUGUGGAGGCUCAGAGCUCUGAGAUCUCCUUCACUUGCUGCAUCAGUACUCCUGACACUGGAGAGUUCUGGAGGUUGGAGACCAGCCCCUUCCUGGUGGAACAGGCACCCUGUAGCCUGGGAUGUGACAGUCAUAUGACAGGGCCUGUAACAAGUAACAGUGGUAGCCCAAAUAUGUCGAGCACUUACUAUAUGCCUGGCUUUUCAUGAAGUCUGUCGCAUACGUUAUUUACACCCCCACCCGCACAGCCGUGUCUGGUGGUCCUGUUCUUGACAUCCUGUUUACUGAUGAGCCCAGAGUCACACAAUAGUAGCCAGUCCAAGGUCACCCAGCUAAUAAAUGGCUGAAGCAGUAGUCCACAGUCUCAUCCACUGUUCCGUACCAAAAAAAAAAUGUUUAACCUGGAAGGGAGAUGGCAGAGGGGGAAAAUUACAAGAUCCUACCAGUGUUAAUCUAUACCACGAGUUGAGCCCUUAGUAUGUGUUGGAAGCUGGCCUACAGAUCAGCACCAUUUAUACUCCUGACAGUGACCUUAUACUAUAGGGUUGUUAUUUCCACUUCUGAGAGGUCAUCUCAUAUGUCUCUGGUCACACUGCUAGUACAAAACUGGAACUUUGAGUUUAAUGGAUGGUACACUCAGCCUGCCUGUAUAUCACUCUUAGGAAGACCCCACUCUUCUCUGAGCCUGUUUCCCGUUCUGCACAAUGAGAGGUUUGGACCAGAAGGCUCUGGACAUUGUUUCCUGAGCUCACAUUCUUUGAUUUUAGGAGCAUUGACAUGAUGUCCAGAGUCCUGGGUUUGUUCCUAAUUAUCUAUGACUUGGGAACGCCUCGGCCUAAUCCCUUGCAUCUCUGGGCCUCAGUUUCCCCCUUUGUAAAAUGUGGAGAUGAGAAAGUCUCAAUCACCAAGGGACCUUCUGGCUUUAAUAUUUUAUGACUGCAAAUGAAGAGACAAGCUGAGGUUCAGCAAAUUGUGCAUCCUCUGAGAAAUUCUAAUGAAUGUGAUUCUGCCACCUUGCUCAAAACAUUCCUGGUGCAAGGCUUCCAAGGACAGAUGCCCAUGUAGGUCAAGGGGAACAGCCACCUCCAGAUAAUCAGCAUUAACUGCUGGAGGAGGCUCACUCUCCUGAUGGUCCAAAAUCCACCCCUGUGGUCAGACCAGCUUAAGACUGAAUGCCAGCACUUCCCCCUGGGCACCUCAGAGAAGUGACCCUUUCUGUGCCUUAGUUUCUACAUCUGUAAAAUAGGGUGCUAACAGGACCAGCUUCAUUUGAGAUUUGAUGGAAAAACAUGUGCAAAAAGCCUAACAUGGACAUUCCCUGGUGGCUCAGUGGGUUAAGGACCUGGCAUUGUCACUGUCGUGGCACAGGUUUGAUUCCUGGCCCAGGAACUUCCUCAUGCCAAGGGUACAACCCCAAAAAAAAGCCUAACAUGCUACUUCUGGCUUAGGAAAACCCCCAAUAAAUACAACUGU
RNAcentral lists this long non-coding RNA (3694 nucleotides) under Sus scrofa (pig). Its description in RNAcentral is "lncRNA (ENSSSCG00035021999.1)". Lineage: Eukaryota; Metazoa; Chordata; Mammalia; Artiodactyla; Suidae. The record is from RNAcentral.